This 440-nucleotide ribosomal RNA is filed under the name uncultured bacterium. RNAcentral's name for it is "partial 16S ribosomal RNA". It matches the Rfam family "Bacterial small subunit ribosomal RNA", at positions 338 to 795 of the family's 1533-position model. The record is from RNAcentral.
CCUACGGGCGGCAGCAGUGGGGGAUAUUGCACAAUGGGGGAAACCCUGAUGCAGCGACGCCGCGUGAGUGAAGAAGUAUUUCGGUAUGUACAGCUCUAUCAGCAGGGAAGAAAAUGACAGUACCUGACCAAGAAGCCCCGGCUAACUACGUGCCAGCAGCCGCGGUAAUACGUAGGGGGCAAGCGUUAUCCGGAUUUACUGGGUGUAAAGGGAGCGUAGACGGUUAUGUAAGUCUGGAGUGAAAGGCAGAGGCUCAACUUCUGUACGGCACUGGAUACUUGCGAGCUAGAAUGCGGUAGAGGUAAAGGGAAUUCCUGGUGUAGCGGUGAAAUGCUUAGAUAUCAGGAGGAACAUCGGUGGCGUAAGCGCUUUACUGGGCCGUAAUUGACGCUGAGGAACGAAAGCCAGGGUAGCAAAUGGGAUUAGAUACCCUAGUAGUC